UACGGAGGGUGCGAGCGUUGUCCGGAAUCAUUGGGCGUAAAGGGCGCGUAGGUGGCCCGGUCAGUCCGUGGUGAAAGCGCGGGGCUCAACCCUGCGUCGGCCAUGGAUACUGCCGCGGCUCGAGCACUGUAGAGGCAGGCGGAAUUCCGGGUGUAGCGGUGGAAUGCGUAGAUAUUCGGAGGAACACCAGUGGCGAAGGCGGCUCACUGGUCCAUUACUGACGCUGAGGUGCGAAAGCGUGGGGAGCAAACAGG
This 254-nucleotide ribosomal RNA is filed under the name uncultured bacterium. RNAcentral's name for it is "partial 16S ribosomal RNA". It matches the Rfam family "Bacterial small subunit ribosomal RNA", at positions 524 to 776 of the family's 1533-position model. The record is from RNAcentral.